This 75-nucleotide transfer RNA is filed under the name Thermoproteota archaeon. RNAcentral describes it as "tRNA-Gly". It matches the Rfam family "tRNA". From Rfam's summary of the family: Transfer RNA (tRNA) molecules are approximately 80 nucleotides in length. The record is from RNAcentral. Lineage: Archaea; Thermoproteati; Thermoproteota.
GCGGAAGUUGUUCAGUGGUAGAACACCACCUUGCCAAGGUGGGGGUCGCGGGUUCGAAUCCCGUCUUCCGCUCCA